Molecule: ribosomal RNA, 723 nt
Filed under: Salmonella enterica
Lineage: Bacteria; Pseudomonadati; Pseudomonadota; Gammaproteobacteria; Enterobacterales; Enterobacteriaceae
Also listed under: 3 other names
Description: partial 23S ribosomal RNA
Rfam family: Bacterial large subunit ribosomal RNA
Source: RNAcentral
UAAUGUUUGAUGUUCUAACGUGGACCCGUGAUCCGGGUUGCGGACAGUGUCUGGUGGGUAGUUUGACUGGGGCGGUCUCCUCCUAAAGAGUAACGGAGGAGCACGAAGGUUGGCUAAUCCUGGUCGGACAUCAGGAGGUUAGUGCAAUGGCAUAAGCCAGCUUGACUGCGAGCGUGACGGCGCGAGCAGGUGCGAAAGCAGGUCAUAGUGAUCCGGUGGUUCUGAAUGGAAGGGCCAUCGCUCAACGGAUAAAAGGUACUCCGGGGAUAACAGGCUGAUACCGCCCAAGAGUUCAUAUCGACGGCGGUGUUUGGCACCUCGAUGUCGGCUCAUCACAUCCUGGGGCUGAAGUAGGUCCCAAGGGUAUGGCUGUUCGCCAUUUAAAGUGGUACGCGAGCUGGGUUUAGAACGUCGUGAGACAGUUCGGUCCCUAUCUGCCGUGGGCGCUGGAGAACUGAGGGGGGCUGCUCCUAGUACGAGAGGACCGGAGUGGACGCAUCACUGGUGUUCGGGUUGUCAUGCCAAUGGCACUGCCCGGUAGCUAAAUGCGGAAGAGAUAAGUGCUGAAAGCAUCUAAGCACGAAACUUGCCCCGAGAUGAGUUCUCCCUGAGACUUUAGGUCUCCUGAAGGAACGUUGAAGACGACGACGUUGAUAGGCCGGGUGUGUAAGCGCAGCGAUGCGUUGAGCUAACCGGUACUAAUGAACCGUGAGGCUUAACCUU